GGACAGAGGGAGCCGGGUGGGCAGGGCCUGGGGAGGCUGCAGGGGCCAGAGGCCAGGGCUCGGCCCGGGGCACCCAGCAGGGCAGGGUGGACCUGUCUCUGCUUCCACGCAGGUGAACACGUUGGUGACCACGAGAGCCUGAAAUCUCCCCUCUGCAGAACGGGGUAGUGCUAUGGCCAUGAAGGAAGCUGGACUUGAGGGCAGCGAGGUGGUGGCCAGCCUAGGGGCUGCCUUUCCUCCCUCCCACAUGGCUGCCAAUCUGCAAGCCCAGGUCCGUUCUGCACAGAGUCGCCUCCCCGGGAUCCACACAGGAAGGCUUUAGUGUGGGAGGGUCUCCGGCUGGUGAGCGAGAGGGGACACCAGGCACCGCGGAGGCACCACAGGUGGCGACGGGCAGAGGGCACUGGUUCCUGGGCCUCCCUGUGAGUGCGAAACAACCGGACACCCCAGCCUCGUCGCCCGGGGGCCCUUGAAGAAGCGUCUGGCUUCAGGAGAGAGAAGGAAGCUGCUCUUGAUCCCAAGAGCCCCAGAGAAGAGGAGCACAGCUUUCUAACAAGAAGAGGACAGGGACCGAGCUGCCUCCCACCCCCCUUCAGAGCCCCCGAGGGCUUCGGGCCCUGGGAGUGAUGGGGUGGAGGACUUCCUGCUGCACCUCGUCUGUCUCUGGCCCUUCCAGGAGCAGCUGCGGCCAGUUUCGUUCUGUCUCGGUUGGGGCCGUGCCCAGGGCCACCUGCAGGGGAACUGGGGCCCUCUAGCUCUGACUGCAUGGCUCCUGGGCAGCUCCAGGCUGAGCUAGGAAAGUCCUGAGUUGCAUGUUCCGCUCAUCCUGUGGGGUAGGAAGGAAAGACUGCAGACAUAAUUAGAAGCGUUUCAGAGCGAGUGGAAAGUUCUCAGGAAACGUAUUAUCAUUGGCGCUGCCGCUGCCUCCCUGGAGAGAGGGGGCGCAUGUGCGUUUCCCCCUGCUUUCCCAGAUGAGCCCUGCUCACACAGAACGCGCGGGCUUCCUGGUGGGACCCAGUCUUCCCGCAGCCUUUCGGGGGGCACCGUCCUGUCCGCCCGGAGGGUGUAGGUGCAGGCACUCCCCCUCGGCACCCCAAGCCUUAGUCUCCCGUCUCCCUGCGGAGGGGCAGGAGGAGGCGCUGCUUGGAGAAACUCCCUGGGUCCUGAGUCUUCCUUUUGGCCAAGGCAGGGCAGAGGCAGGGGGCCCGUGGCUGCGGCAGGGCUCAGACCAGCUGCUGGGUGGAAGGCGGCUUCCCUGCUCCCCGCGCGUGACCUUCAGGAAGGACUUCCUGCGCAGGCCUCGGUUUCUCCAUCUGCAGAGUGGGGACGGGAGGGCCGUCCCCUGGAGCCGCUCCUUCAGAAGGGAGGUUGGUUGUAGGCAGGCGCCGUGUGCAGACCGCCCACCUGAGAGCACACUCCUCCCUCCUCCCUGGGAGCACGGUGUCACACCUGUUCUCCAGGUGGAGCACGGGCCCGUGUCUCCUGCUGGGCUCCAGGGGACGGUCCUCCCCGCCCCCCUUCUCCCAUCCGAUGAGGUCGCUGCCCUUCAACCCAGGUCCUGGUUCCUUCCGGCCGCCAGCCGCAGGCCGAGGUGACAGAUUUCUGGGCUGAUGUGCCAUCCCGACCGUGAGUUGGGCGACAUCCAGGGGCUUGUGUCCUGAGCGCAGACGGGCUGCCUGGGUGGGGACAGUGCUCCAGCAGGCUGUCCCCGGGGUCCAGCAGGAGGUGUUGGGGGGGCGUGCCCUGGGGGCUGCAUCCUCUGGGGCAGAGGAGCUGCAGAGCCCCUGGACCCCCUCCCUGCCCUGCAACGGAGCCAGGGCCUGUGGCCUGCACGCAGGGGCUCUCCUCAGUGUCAGGCAGGGACAGCAGUGGCAGGAACUGGGGGUCAUCGAGCACUUACUCCAAGUUUAAGACUAGUAUUUGCUGUGUUCCACAAACAAUUCACUGAACUUACAGCACAGACAGCAUGUUGGCACCACCAGCGUCUCCAGUGUCCCAGUGAAGAAGUGCCAGGUGCCUUGUCCCAGCUGCUGGGCUGGCCCUGGUGGGAGGCGCCUGGUGUGGCAGCCCCUCGGCCACCUGCUCCCUGCACACGCCCCUGUGUGCAGCGGGUCCCAGGCCAUGUUCCCGGGCAGCACCAGGGUUCACAGUGAGGGCGCAGGGGGCUUAGCACGAGCCGCAGGACGGAGCCCGGGUCAGCGCCAGGCAGCGGCUCUGAGCCGGCCUCCACCACGUGGGGGCUGAUCCGUGAGCCCCCAUCUACCCCGCGACUCCUCAGUUUCCCCACGUGAGGGGAGAAGUGCCGUCUCACAGAGCAGGAGCUGAGAGAAGGCGGGUCACACCAGGCCUCACAAAUGGUAGCACACGGCAGUGGGAAGGCCGCUGGGCCCGUGGUCCUCGCGGCUGGAGACCUGCUACCUCUCUCUUGUCUUCCCUCAUCAAGGAGAAGUGUCCCAGCGCCACUCUGUCGAGGAUGGAGACAGUGACCAGGGCCCAGCUGCAGGAGGACCCUGGGCAGAGCAGGCAGGGGGAGCCAAGCCCGAGCCCCGGGUGCUGGACGGCGAGGUCCCCUGAGUGAAGCCAGAGGUGACCUGGGCUGCUGAGGAUGCCCAGGGAGCACGUGGGGCCUGCCUGACCCGUGGAGGACACAGAGAGAACCGCAUGGCUGCUCCAGGUUGUCCCGCAGGGUGACACGCAGAUGGCCAUACGUGCCAGGAUCCCAGGAUAAAAGGACUUGGGAGGCACCUGCGAGGGGGUUGAGCUAUUCGACGGGGGUGAUUCUAUACCACGCAGAGCCACAGGAGGGAGGAAGAUGCUCCAUUACGUGUGAGGGAUCAGAGAGCGUCCUACUGUCGUGUACGAUUAAUUAAAGAAAUGAGCCAUCGCCAACGUGAAGACUGAUUUGCACAAGUACGUGAUAAAAGGAAACCUAGGGGACAUUUCAGGAAGUGAUUAGAGUGUGGAGGACUUUGAGCAGCCGCGGGGGAACCUCUCCCCACUCUCCCUUCCCCGACAGACUGGGCACUGGCGCCUCCUGUGACCUCCCGGGUGCCUCCUCACAGGCGAGGACUGGCUCCAGGGGGGCCUUGGGGGCCUGGGGAGCGGUCAGCUGUGGGGCACUCAGGUGUCGUUGGAACAGUCCCCACCAGGACCCCCCAUUGCUCUGCCCCACUCUGCAGAAGAGGACACAGAGGGCCAGAGUGGUGGGAGGCCAGCGUGGCCGCCUCGGAGGCUGCUUUGCAGUGGCCCAGAGUUUGACGGGUGGAGGCUGGCGCUGGCCGGUGGCCCAGGCAGCUGUCCUCCGCUGUGGCCUCCUUCAGCGCUGGCUUUGUGCUCCAGAGUCGGGAUGUGGACUCCACGUCUGCUGCCCAGGGGGCCUCAGGGCUGCUUCCUCUGUGACCUCUGCCAUCUGGGCCUUGCUCACGGUGACAGCAGGGCUGAGAGGUGAACUCACGGUGUCCACCUCAGACCUCGCUUGCCGAGCUGCUCCCUGCUGACUGGGGUGGCCACAGCAGACUUGGGCACAGCUGCCAGGAGGCCAGUGUGCCCAGACCCUCUCCACAAAUGGGGAAACCGCAUGCCCCCAGGGCUCCCUGGCGCGUGGGGGUUCCUCCGGGGCCACCCUCACCCGGCCCUGCGGGAGCCGCGGGUCCGGGCACCUGUCGCAGUGCUGAGCCUCUCGUGGUGCCUGGGCAGGCGGAGGCGCCCUGAAUAACCCUCCGGAAGAACGACUCUGUCCUUCUGUUUUCCCAGGAGGCGAGCGCUUCCACGCGGUGGGGACAUGUUGUUUUUGAGCCUGAGCCCUGGACGUCCAUCAAAGAGGGGACAUUGUUUUUCUUAAAAGUGUUUGGCCAGAUCCCUGCAGCAGGAUCUCAGGUGCAGAUUCCGAACUGAGAAGCUGAGACGCUGCACCUCAGUGAUCAUCAAGCCUGGCCCUCUCCUCCCAGGGCCCAGCCUGGCUGUUGCCGCUGGAGGCUGUCCCCCACCCUACCUGCCACCUCCCCCCCGCGCCAGGCUGCCGAUGGCUCUCUUCAGUGGCACGGACUGUCUCGAGCAGGGGCGCUCCAGGAUUUCCAAGUCUCCAACUGAUUUUCAAACUGCAAACAAAAUGCCUUCGCUCUCUGGGCCUCGCCGGACCCCUCCAUUACCCACUCAGAGUCACGUCACAAAAGUAGCUUUAAACAGUUUUCCUUGACUAUUGGACACAUCCCCCCCCCCACAGCGCAGUUCUGCUGCCUGCCCCAGGGCUCCGGGCACCUCUUCACGCCCCCAGUGUGCCUGCCCGUCACUCUGGCACACGUGGGCGUGUUGGUAUUCCUUUUUGCCCCCAGAAAAUGAUGGGGUCAGGAGGAUGAAGAGACUCCCUAGAAAGGAACACGCCGAGCCCCGCCCUGGCCUGGAGUUCCUUUGGCUUGAGGGAAGAGUCCAUUUUCUAGCCUCCCAGGGGCUGCUGGGAACGGCCAGGCUGAUGACCUCCUCUCACUCCCUUUUGCCCGCGGGCAUCAUCCAGCUCCUGACCAUGCCCGUGUCUGAGCUCCACUGAGGCCCUCUGUAUCGUCAUCUCCCCACCUCUUCGGCUCCCCAGAGACUGACAGGCGGGCAGGCUGGGAGGCCCCACAGUAACUCCUGUCCUUAGAGGAAGCGGGAGGCCGGUGCUAUUGCAGGAAGCACCAGCAGGCCACUGUAUCUGGGGCGGUCACUUGUGGGGACAGACUCCCUUCUCUGCUGUGACCUCCCAGACCCUGUGGCCACCAUCUUUCACUGGUCUCACCGCUUGGUCUCUCCCCUCCCACAGUGCUCCCGUCACAGCGACCUGCCUGGGCCUUUGUCCUAGAGACCCGCUCUGUGAUCUGGAGACGCGGGGCAGCGUGCUGGUCACUGACGCCCCUGGCCAGGCCCCCCCUGCACUCUGCUGAGGGACCUUGGGAAGGUUCAUGAAUCUCUGUGCUGGAGCCUUGUCCCCUGGAAUGCGGGGGGCCGUGCAGCCCACUCGGGGAUCAGCACCAGGAUCGGAUGGUCCCUCUGGUGUGGAUCAGGCAAGGUCAGGAGCCUUGGGACUCACCACCGUCUUCCGGUUCUUCUCAGGCCGCUCGCCGUCACGUUAAUCGCUCUCGGGGGAGAGGUGCACCUUGCCCACUUACUGAGCAUGCCCUCGGUGCUUAGCUGAUGCUGGUGGGUGAGUGCACUUUGCGGUGUGCAGAGCCUGCGGUCACUCGCUCUCCACCCUGACUCUGGGUGAGGUCCCGAGGGUCAUGCCGUGUCAGCAUCUGGGAAGGCAGCGCUGUACCCUUUGCCCGUGGCUCAAGACACGUUGGCUCGGGCUCUGCCCUGAGUUGACCCGGCUGUUGAGUCCCUGCCUCAGUCUGGAGAGAACUGUCAGAGCCCCCCCCUCUUUCCCCAGGUACAAACACCCCCCAACCUCUGCCAGUUCUAUUUCUAUUUUAUUGAUGUGACAUUUACAGAAUCUAGAACUAGCCACUUGAGUCGUGGUUGUCCUGAUUUUGUCAAAUUGUUCCUCUGUUUUCCGUGAGGUUUGUUGAUCAUCACAAUGAUGACUCUGAAUUCUGUUGGGGGUUUGUAUAUCUCCGUAUCCUUGGGGGCGGCUCUGGUGAAAGGGACCAGAUGCAGGGACUGCCCGUGUCCUGGGUGGCGGUGGCGCUGUCCCCUGACUUGCACUGAGGUCUGUUCACGUGGAGAGGUGGAGACUCAAUCCAGUUGUUGGAGUUGGGCGUCAUCUGGGAAAAAAUGGUCAAUGAACAUCGAGGCUUUCAGUGUCAUUCAGUUCAUUUACGAUAUCAUCGGCCACGGCCUCCGCGUAGCUCCCAACGUCUUCCCCGCACCAGAAGGGAAGCUCCUCUUGAGAGAAUUAGCAUCUUUUCCCCUCUCUCGGGCCCCUGGGAGCUCUCAGCUCCUUUCUGCCUCUGCAGAUCUGCCUCUUCCAGACUUUUCCCAUCAAUGGAACCUGCGAUCCUUGAUCUUUGGUAUCCACCUGGUGUCUUCGAGGUUCAGCCUCCUGGCAGCAUGUCAGGACUGCAUCCCUUUUGCUGACUGAGUAGCCUUCCACGGCACAGAUAAACCCCCAUUUGGUGUUUCUUCAUUCAUCUGCUGAUGGGCGUUUGAACUGUGACCACCUUUGGGUGCUUCUGAGUAAGCGCUAGGAUCAGGCACCUGGGUACCUCUGCUGGAGUGGAAUCUCUUGGGUGCAUGCCCCAGGGAACUUCUGAGUCAAUGUGACUUGAAGUUUCACUCCUUAGAAAGCCAGGUGGUCUCCCCAGUGGCUGCCCAGGCCACCCCCGAUUCCUCCGGCUUAUGUGUCUCUCCAUGUCACCCACACAUGGCCAGGUCUCACCCUGGCCCCGACUGCUGGGCCUGCUCUUCACUUUGCUCUGAUAGAGGGACCAUGAGUGGACACACCGGGGCUGGCUGCCUGGGGUGGACCCUGGCCUGGCCACUCACCAGUUGAAGGGCACUAGAAAAGUGACCAGCCGUUCCAAGCCUCAACCGCAACCUGUAAAGCGGGUGACCAUUGUGCCCAUUGUCAUGAUGAUUGUGGAAUUGUCACUUUAGAGGUGCCUGGAGCAGGGCUGGAGGAGCUGAGCUGGCACAUGGGAGUGGCACCCCGCCUCAGAGCCAGCAGGAGCGCAGGGGUGCCCGCCGUCCAGCUGGAAGAAAGAGACCCUCGGAGCUUGGCCAGGUGAGUGCCACGGGCGCCGAGAACGGCAGGCCAUGGAGCAGGCCACGGAGCGGGCCACGGAGCGGCUGGGAGCCCCGGGAGAGCACAGCCAGCCUCCUGGAAAGGCUCACGUCACAGCGUCAGCAGCCGAGGGACCGGAGGCAGAGUGCUGGUCACUGACGCCCCAAAGCCACGCUCCUCCCUCCCACCACUGCCCGCAGCUGCACUCUCCCCGGCAGAGAAGGAACCGAGGCUCCCACAAGAGGCACCAGACAUCGGCGGCUCCAGGAUUGGGGCCCGGCUUCGUCUGGCUCCAGAAACCCCCUCUGCACACUCCGAGCUCAUCCUGGGAAACGCCAACACCGUCCCCCGCUUUCCCCGCCAGGGCCUUCCCCCCUGCCCAGGGCCACGGAGGAGCCGGGCGCAUCCUGAUGCCCCUGGACGGCGCGGGCCGUCUGAGCCUCGGCUCCCCAUUUGUUUUUUCCUGAUUGCAAGUAUUUUCAUUUGCUUUGGGUGGAAAAACAAACCUUUUGCUGUUGUGGAUAUUUCAAAGGGACCAUCUGGGCCACAAGAUAUCCGCUGGACACCACACCAGGAACAGCAGGUGGCUCGGAUACAUUGAUUCCUAUCAGGGUUUGACCUCAUUUAUUUUUGAAAAAUAUCUAGCUCCAAACACGGUGCUUUGAAGGUACGAGUGAUAAACGGUCCCGUGGGUCCCACCAGGGCAGGAUCUUGCCAGCCCCAUCUCCUCCUGGCACGGGGACUGGGUCUGGGAUCGGGGCCUCGUCUCUGCACGGAGCCACCAGACACAGCCGGGCAGGGGGGCCCUCAGGUGUGAAGGAGGAGAGUCAAGGUCAGGGUCAGGAGGGGAGUCAGGAGGCGGACAUGGAGGUGAGCUCAGGCCCCGCUCAGCAGCGCCACAGGCCUGGCUUCCACACCAGCUCCCUUGAUGUUCCCAGGGACCCCUGGCCCCAGGAGAGGAGCCACCGCUCCACAGAAGGGGCGGAUGCCCGCACUCACCUGGCAAGACUCCUGGGACCUCGUCCCUGUCCACGGCGGGCAGCUGAGAGCCUCGGUGUGGACAACACCACUCCUGUCUACACACGUUUUCUCCGGAUUCCCAGACAAACCAGUUUCUAGAAGAACGUGGACGAUGUCUCAUCCGUGGCCAAAGCGCUGCUCUCCAUGGGAAGGUGCUGUGCAACAUUUCAGAACUUUCCUAGGGCCAGGGAGACUCGAGGGGCCAGUUCAGACAGGUGACCUGUGCUCCCUGACUCGUUAGACCCACCACGUCUGUCUGACCUGAGCCCCCCGUCUGAUAGUCUAGAUAAUCAGCAGAACUUCCCAAAAUAAGGAGAAGCAGCCUCCGUUUGCAGCCCUACAUGGCACGAGGGGUCUGUCCUCACCCGGGACAUCCCCCAGCCGUCAGCGGGAGCAAAGGGCUGAUGCAGGCCGCACAGAGACGCUUGGUGAAAGGGACCGCCUGUCAUAUGGAUCCAUUUAUACACAGUGUCCGGGACGAGCAAGUCUGAGACGUCGGAGAGAUUAGUGGUUGCAGGCUGGGGGGGAGGAGCUCUGCGUGAGGCCCGAGGGUGCCAAGUCUCUUUUCAGAGUGAUG
Molecule: non-coding RNA, 8291 nt
Organism: Ictidomys tridecemlineatus (thirteen-lined ground squirrel)
Lineage: Eukaryota; Metazoa; Chordata; Mammalia; Rodentia; Sciuridae
Source: RefSeq, a predicted model, not a curated record